GCGGGCCCGUCGCCAUUUUCCUUCUCUCGGACCCCCGGAGGCGGUGGGAGAAGGGGAGCGCUGCCGGCAGGUUGGUGGAAGCUUGGGGGCCGGAGUGAGCCGGGCGGGCGGGUUGCGAGCAGAGGUCGCGAGAGGCGGCAGCGCGGGCGGGGGAUGGGCGCCGCGUGGCGCGGCCGGCCCCAACCCCCUCAGCUUCCCGCCCAGCGCCUCACGGACUGCGGGGGAGGGGUCAUUCUUCACAUUCUUCACUCCGCCCUUCCCCCCACUUCAAUCAAACUUGGGCGGGGGAAAUCCCGCCCCCGCGCUAUGCCCAUUGGCCGGCGUCGCCUCCUGCGGUGGCGUGACUGGUUGUGGACGCCGCCAGGUCCCCUUGACGUCACUUCCGCUAUCAGACAGAUGAAAUUCUCUGGAGAAGUUGAAGAAGAGGGGAUGUGACUUACAGUCACCAGCUGGGAAUGAUAUGCUGGAAAGAAAACAGUCGACUUAGGCAGAAGAUUGUAGAAACUGUCUCAGAGAAAAGAUCUUCAAAUACGGACACUUGGGAGAACCACAACUAAAAAGUGGCUCAUUGCCUGAUCACUUGACAAGUAGCAGUUCUCAAACUGUGGUUUGUGGACUUCCUGGGGGACCUAGGAGGGCCCUAGGAUCCUUUCAAGGUGUCCAAAAUAUCAAAAUUAUUUUUAUAAUAUUUCAGAUGCUAUUUGCCUCUUUAAAUGUGUUAAUCUUUGCAAAAGAUGGUGCAAAAGCAAUAAGUAAAACUAUUGGCCCAUUUAGCAUGAAUCAGGGCAGUGGCACCAGUGUACUAGUAGUCAUUCUUUACUGACACACUCAAAGUUUUUUUUAAAAGUCAGUUUCACUUAAGAUUCUCUUUCUUGAAGUAAAAUUUAUUAAUUUUAUGGAAAUCUUCACCCUUUAGUAAUGACUUUAAUAUUCUGUGUGACAAAAUAGGAAUAUGCAAAAGCAUUUGAGCAAUUGUUUGAAUUUGUGACCUGAAGUUGCUGCUUUUUUUCAUGGGAAACCACUUUUCCUUGAAAGAACUACUGACAGAUAAAAUAAAAAUAUUCAGACCUGGGUAUCGAUAGACAUUUUCUCAAAACAAAUAAAAUGAGCCAACCACUUAUGACAGUAUUUGUUACCAAUGAUAAAAUUUAAGCUUUCAAGUGAAUUUGUAAUUUAUAAUUGUAAAUGCCAGUGAGAGUUUGUCAGCUUCUCAAUAUUUAAAAAUGUUUCUGAUGAGAUCAGUGGUGAUAUUAAUAAUAUUUUUGAUAUUAUAUAAUAGAAUGUGUUAACAUUUGAAAGACCUGCAUAUCUCAGUGAACCAGUAUUUUCCAAGUGACCAAUGCACAAUGUAACAUGCAUAAUCUAUGAGUAAAAGAUUUAUUCAUUAUGCAAAAAAUAGGCUAAGGGAUUUUAAUAUAAUGGUAUGAGAAUUUAUUGAUAGGUAUUUAGAUUGCACACCGCAACUAACCUUUAAGAAGACCAGUUGUUGAAUUUUGGUGCAGUAUCAAAGCAGCAUAUCCAUAAUUAUCUAAAAGAACUAUUAAAACGCAGCACCCCUAUUCCAAUGAUGUGUUGACAUGAGGCUGGAUUUUCUUCAUACACCUCAACCAGAAAAGUGCAUCACCACAGACUGAAUGAGGAUGCAGAUAGGAGAAUCUACUUGUCUUCUAAUAAGUCAGACAUUAAAGAGAUUUGCAAAAAAUGUAAAACAAUGCCACUCUU
This is a long non-coding RNA of Physeter macrocephalus (sperm whale), 1722 nucleotides long. RefSeq lists it as uncharacterized. The record is from RefSeq and is a predicted model, not a curated record. NCBI's taxonomy places the organism in Eukaryota, Metazoa, Chordata, Mammalia, Artiodactyla, Physeteridae. The transcript is spliced from 3 exons.